UCAACUUUUUCUGUGUAUGGAUUUUGUGGAUAAGCACUAAUGUACAGAAUAAUACAAGUUAAUUUAAAGUAUAUUAUUGUUUAUUUUAUUUGAAUUAUUAUUAUUAUUAUUUAUUUAUUCUUUUGCCAACCCCCAUAAUCCCAUGCCCAAACAUAAUGCAACGCGGUGACAUCGCGCUAUUGCGCCAUUUUGCGACUACUUGGCGGUCUUUUUUUGAAUCGGCAUCAAUUUAUCAGGCGGCCUGCAGUGCACUUACAGCUCGAACUGUGAAGCCAUAUUGUUGUAAGGUUGAUGACAAAUGAGGUCAUGGCCUGUUUCAGUAUGAAGUGGGGGAAGGGGAAGCUUGCCUUCACCAAGAUCAAUCUGUACACUGUUGUCACAGAGAGUGUCCAGAAAACAUCAAAAGAGACGGGGCAAAUAUUGCAGCGGCCACCGCCUUUUGUUUAAAAUAUGCCCCAGCAGAGCCGUCGCAAGGAGGGUGAGAGGCCCUGUGCAAAGUUGACAUGCGAGGCCCUCUACAAUUUUGCGUGUGUGUGUGUGUGGUGGGGGAGGUUGCUGUAGUAAGGCAAGGCAAGUUUAUUUAUAUAACAGAUUUCGUACACAAUGGUAAUUCAAAGUGCUUUACAUAAAAUAAAGUAAA
Cyprinus carpio (common carp) is the source of this 640-nucleotide long non-coding RNA. RefSeq lists it as uncharacterized. The record is from RefSeq and is a predicted model, not a curated record. The transcript has 4 exons. Lineage: Eukaryota; Metazoa; Chordata; Actinopteri; Cypriniformes; Cyprinidae.